RNAcentral lists this long non-coding RNA (3137 nucleotides) under Homo sapiens (human). Its description in RNAcentral is "HSALNT0334052". The record is from RNAcentral. Lineage: Eukaryota; Metazoa; Chordata; Mammalia; Primates; Hominidae.
CUUCAAUUCCCUUUUAUAAGGCCUAAUCACCUCCUAAAGGCCUCCCCUCUUAAUGGUAUCACCUUGGGGGUUUAAGUUCCAACACAACAAUUUUGGAGGGACAUAUACAUUCAAACCAUAGCAUUGGUUUUGUUAGUUUAUCUUUAAUGUUUCUCUUUGCAGACAUAAGGAAGUAUGUGUGUACAUAUACAUAUAUUCUUAACUCCUUUUUUCUCUUAUACAAAAGAUAGAAUACCAUAUUCUACCAAAUAAAAUACCAUAUUUUGUACCUUGUUAUAUUACUUAACAGUAUAUCCUGGAAAUCACUCCAUGGGAGUUCAUACACAUAUUCCUCAUUCUUUAUUAUGUCUGCAUAAUACUCCACUGUGUAGCUAUUAAUAUGGAGAGAUUAGAUACAGAAAAGGGAAAAAGGGCAUUCCAGGCAAGAUGAAUGACAAAUAACUGGCAGGAAAAUAAGAAUAAACAAGGCUUUAUUACCAUAUGAAAGAGAAAGAAAGUAAACCAAUCAGGCUAGAGUGAAGGAUUAAUGCAAAAGGGUGGGAAAAGUCAAGGUUACCACCAUAUCAUACAAUUCCAGGGAAGACCAUGCACAUCAUCAUCUAAGGAGCUGUAUAAAGCACAGCUUAGAUAAUUGUACACACUCCCUUGGGUAAAGCUAAAGACAAAAAGUUGGGGCUAGUUUACAGAGGCACUUAGAUUAUAAGGUAAAAUAGGAUUCUGUCUUGUAGCCAAAGCUUCUGCAGGAAGGUGUCAUGUUCAAAAUGUUGCUUUAAGAUAAAUAAGACCACAGACAGACUGGAGGGGCUAUAAGAGAAGGUUACUAAAAUUGUCUAGGAGUGAGGUAGUAAGUAUCUUAGUGGGCUGACAGCGAAGAAAAGGGUAUUACCUAAGACACAGUCUUGCUUACCUUCAAAGAGCUUACAAUCUAGUUGUUGAGAUAAUGUAUUAUUUAAGAGUUACAUAAUACAGAAAUGAUAUUUUAGAAUCAGAAGAGACCUCAGUGAUCAUAUUGUCCAAUGGUUCUCAAAUCCAGCUGAUAAUCAGAAUCACUUAGAGGAACUUGUUAAAACAUCUUCUUGGGCCCCAUUCCCCAGAGAUUCUUAUUCAAUAAGUCUUUAGUUGGGUCUGGAGAAUCUGAACUUGUAACACGCUCCUCAAGUGAUCUCCCACUGACUGGCGAUGUUUGGGAACUACUGUUUCAGUAUAGUCUUUUCAUUUCAUAGAUGAGAAGCUGAAUCACAACAAUAUUCUUUUCCAAGAAUGUUACAGGAGAUUACAAUCUAGGGGUUGGGAGGCCUUUUUAAUCAAGACCCAAAACCCAAAAGCGAAAUGAGAAAGACAAAUCUGACCACAAAACAUUUAAAAACAUUUGUAUGGCAAAGGAUCCUAUAAACAAAGACAACAGACUUGAAAAACUAUAUAUGUAACAGACUACGAAGGGUUGUUAUCAUCAUACUCCACAAGGGUUAUGAAAAUACAUGAAACUAACACAACAGAAAAAUGGUGAAGGAUGGAAAAGGGGCAGAUACCCAAAAGAGAGUUGGUGAAGCUAUAUUAAUAGCCUACAAAAUAGAAUUUAAGGCAAAAAACUACACAAGCUUGGCAAGGCAGAAAAUUCAAAGGAUAUCUGUGGACAGGACUAUUUCUGCUCCUCAUUUCUACUUGGAAGAAAAUCAUAAUGAGAAGCAGGAGAGAAGAAGGCAUUACAAUUCCACAGGAAAGCUCGUACUCCUCUGAUUCCACUUCCCUUUUCCUUCCUCCUUCUCUACAAAUCACAGGCCAGGCUAACAAGCUGACAGAUAAAAGUACAAUGACAGGGUGACAAGAUUAGAAUUGCUUGGAUAAAUUUUCCUGUCUCCUCUAUUUGACACUCCUAACUUACUACCCUUAGUACGUUUUUGUCAAUAUAACUUAGAUGAAAGACAGCUUUUAACUUACAUAAAAGACUAUAUGAGUUACAGUACUUUUUUGUCAAUAUAACUUAACGUUGAAAGACAGCUUUUGUGCACAUAAAAGGCUAUGUGAGUUACUUGGAUUUACAUUAAGACCUUAAAUUCAGUAUAUUAACAGUCUAAAGACCCUUAGUUUUUUUAUAACUGUAUCAGCCUAAUUACCUAAUUUAAAAAUAUUAAUGUACUACAUAUAAAAAGAUUUAAAGAACCAUAUAAUAAAAACUCUUGUACCCACCUCCAGUUUAAAUAUAAAACAUGAAUCCCCUAAAUUUGGCAUUCCCAUCAAACAUCUUCACUACAUUUAGUUUAAUAGAUGCUCUUUUCCUGUGUUAGCACUUCAAAUGCCUACCAAGCAAAUCCUUAAGUACUUUUUUAAAAAAGUUCUGGUAGAUGUUUAAAAAAUUAAACUUAUAAGUAUAGUAUACAUAAAAAGGUCCUAAAUAUUACAACACUUUUCAAACUUAGCAAAGUUUUCUAGCAUUCUUCAACUAAUAAUCAAAUCUAAACCAAAUUACUCAAGAACAUAUCUUAAAUGAGAAUCACAAAUUAAUCUGCUGGAUUCUUUCAUAUGUCAAAUUACUGCAAACAUUACAUCCUAAGUCCAGAUGGACUUAAACUUAAUUGAUUUAACACAUAUCAUGCACUAUAUAUUAUUUAAGUACUUUAUAAAUAUUAUUUAAUACUCAAAAAACUUUAUGAGGUAGAUGCCAUUGUUACCCUCAUUUUACACAUAAGAAAACUGAAGGAAGAAGGAGGUUAAGGAAAGUUCCCACAGUCACACAGCUAACAAGCAGUGGAGCCAGACUUCUGGCUUCAUAGUCCAUGCUGUUUACCACCAUGCAGUGCCGCUGCUCCUUAUAGGUAUAAAUCACUUCAAAAUUUCUAUGUAUGUUUUACAGGACUGGAAAUGUGAUUUCAAGCUGAAGACCGGGGGCUAGGACAUAUAAUCUUCCUGUGCUGAUAAUGGGCACAUCUAGCACCUUUCCUCUUUAAAUAAUUGCUACAACAGAGCCUCUAAAUCAAAUACCUCCAGAUGGGGGUUGAUUUUACAAUCUGAGUUCAAAUUAAGUUCUAAUUGUGAGGCUGGGUGCGGUGGCUCACGCCUGUAAUCCCAACACUUUGGGAGGCUGAGGUGGGCGGAUCACUUGAGGUCAGGAGUUCGAGACCAGCCUGGCCAACAUGGUG